CGCGGUGUAGCUCAACGGCCAGAGCACUCGAUUGAUAAUCGAGCGAUGUCGGUUCAAUUCCUUCCACCGCGACCA
Molecule: transfer RNA, 75 nt
Filed under: Acidobacteriota bacterium
Lineage: Bacteria; Pseudomonadati; Acidobacteriota
Also listed under: 2 other names
Description: Acidobacteria bacterium tRNA-Ile
Rfam family: tRNA
About the family: Transfer RNA (tRNA) molecules are approximately 80 nucleotides in length. Their secondary structure includes four short double-helical elements and three loops (D, anti-codon, and T loops).
Source: RNAcentral